RNAcentral lists this ribosomal RNA (253 nucleotides) under uncultured bacterium. RNAcentral describes it as "partial 16S ribosomal RNA". It matches the Rfam family "Bacterial small subunit ribosomal RNA", at positions 524 to 776 of the family's 1533-position model. The record is from RNAcentral.
UACGAAGGGGGCUAGCGUUGCUCGGAUUCAUUGGGCGUAAAGGGUGCGUAGGCGGCGCGGUAAGUCGGGUGUGAAAUCUCGGAGCUUAACUCCGAAACUGCAUUCGAUACUGCCGUGCUUGAGGACUGGAGAGGAGACUGGAAUUUACGGUGUAGCGGUGAAAUGCGCAGAUAUCGGGAGGAACACCGGUGGCGAAGGCGGUUCUCUGGGCCUUACCUGACGCUGAGGAGCGAAAGCGUGGGGAGCGAACAGG